GAUGAACGCUGGCGGCGUGCCUAAUACAUGCAAGUCGAGCGAACAGACGAGGAGCUUGCUCCUCUGACGUUAGCGGCGGACGGGUGAGUAACACGUGGAUAACCUACCUAUAAGACUGGGAUAACUUCGGGAAACCGGAGCUAAUACCGGAUAAUAUAUUGAACAGCAUGGUUCAAUAGUGAAAGACGGUUUUGCUGUCACUUAUAGAUGGAUCCGCGCCGCAUUAGCUAGUUGGUAAGGUAACGGCUUACCAAGGCGACGAUGCGUAGCCGACCUGAGAGGGUGAUCGGCCACACUGGAACUGAGACACGGUCCAGACUCCUACGGGAGGCAGCAGUAGGGAAUCUUCCGCAAAGGGCGAAAGCCUGACGGAGCAACGCCGCGUGAGUGAUGAAGGUCUUCGGAUCGUAAAACUCUGUUAUUAGGGAAGAACAAAUGUGUAAGUAACUAUGCACGUCUUGACGGUACCUAAGCAGAAAGCCACGGCUAACUACGUG
RNAcentral lists this ribosomal RNA (497 nucleotides) under uncultured bacterium. Its description in RNAcentral is "partial 16S ribosomal RNA". It matches the Rfam family "Bacterial small subunit ribosomal RNA", at positions 28 to 507 of the family's 1533-position model. The record is from RNAcentral.